UUCAAGUGCAACACACAGCUCACAAUUCCUCUGCAAUUUCAAUAAACAUCACCGCGCAAAUUUGGAAAUUGGAAUGCACAAUUGCUGGCCGGGGAUUGGUUGACUUGUUGAUUCAUUCGAAAGAUCUGAAUCGCCAUUGGAACGAAAGAAAGAAAGAUCUUCAAGCGGUUGGUUGAGGAUACGAAGCGAAGCGAGGGCUUGCAGUUGUUCAUUAGAGGAAACCAAAAUGGAGUCGGAAACUGUGAAGUCAUCUCCAUCUCAGCCUGAUAAGGGUUCUGACGUUGGAUCACCACCAACCAGUGAUUUUGAGAGAGAGCAUCCGGCACAUGGUUCCUCAUCUACACUGUCUACCACAGCCUUAUCUUGGGCUAGAAGUUUAAAAUUUUCACAAAAACAACAGGAUUCACCAUCUAUAAAUGAUGAGAAGCUCACGUUUUCACGCCUUGCAAGUGGACUAGGACUGCAGUUUCCCAAUAAAGCACCCAAUGACAGCAACGACUCUGCCCCUGCACAAUCAAGUGUUGUGGAAUCAUUGACAAAAGGAAUAGUUGAUACAUCUUUAAAUGCUGUAAAGGCUGUGCAAGUUAAGGCAAGGCACAUUGUCUCACAAAAUAAGCGGAGAUACCAGGAGGGAGGAUUUGAUUUAGAUAUGACAUAUAUCACUGAAAAUAUUAUUGCCAUGGGAUUCCCUGCUGGUGACUUAAGUUCUGGACUAUUUGGUUAUUUUGAGGGAUUGUAUAGGAAUCAUAUGGAGGAAGUGAUCAAGUUUUUUGAGACUCAUCACAAGGGAAAAUACAAAGUGUACAACCUUUGUUCUGAGAGAUUAUAUGAUGCUUCACUAUUUGAGGGGAAGGUUGCAUCAUUUCCAUUCGAUGAUCACAACUGCCCUCCUAUUCAUCUCAUAAAAUUGUUUUGUCAAAGUGCUUACUCCUGGUUGAAGGAGGAUAUAGUAAAUGUUGUAGUUGUACACUGUAAAGCUGGUAAAGCAAGGACAGGAUUGAUGAUAUGCAGUCUUCUUCUGUUCUUAAAGUUUUUCCCAACUGCUGAGGAGUGCAUCGAUUACUAUAAUCAGAAAAGAUGCGUAGAUGGGAAGGGUCUUAUUCUUCCAAGCCAGAUUAGAUAUGUGAAAUAUUUUGAACGAAUCUUGACACAAUUCAAUGGCGAAACUCCCCCUGGACGUAGGUGCAUGCUAAGAGGAUUUCGUCUUCAUAAUUGCCCAUAUUGGGUUAGGCCUGCCAUUACAAUUUCAAAUCAUAAUGGACUUUUGUUUUCAACAAAAAAGCAUCCAAAAACCAAGAAUCUCAUGCCCGAAGAUUUCUGGAUCCGUGCCAACAAAAAGGGCAUCGUAGUUUUUGCUCUACCAGGAGAACCUGGUCUGACUGAAUUGAUAGGGGACUUCAAAAUUCAUUUUCACGACGGCCACGGGGAUUUUUAUUGUUGGCUGAAUACUACAAUGAUGGAAAAUCGAGUGAUUUUAGAUGCUUCAGGACUUGAUGGCUUCGACAAUAGAAAACUACCUUCACCCGGAUUUCAAGUCGAAAUUGUGAUGAUCGACUAUGGUGGAACGAUCCCGGCCAAGACCAAAUCAGACAGCGACACUAAAGGCGCAGAAGGAAAGCCGGGAGAUUCUUCUUCUAGCAGCCAAAGGAAGGCCGACUCUCAAGCAAACAAGGCCUCAAGCAAACCAGACAACGAAGAUGACGUAUUCUCCGACAGCGAAGGGGAAGAAACCGAUCCAUCAAGAAGCUCGACAAGCCACGCCAUCUCUAUUUCAGGACCCGCCCGACACUCAGAAUCCAGCUCCAAAACCGACAGCGUCUCGACCAUAACACAUCAGACCGAACAGCCCGCAAAUUCCCAGCAGCAGCCUAUACAUGGGCAUGAAAUGAAAAUCGACGAUGUUAAAAGUCCCCCGAAUCUCCCGAGCUUUGAUCCCACAGAUAUCAAGGCCAUUGCAGCAGAUGCCUCGGUUUUCAGUUUUGGAGACGACGAGGAUUAUGAAAGCGAAUGACAGGAAGUUGGGAUAUGAGGUUCUCGGUCGACUCUGACGUUUCCGGCGCCGGAGGAAUCUGCUUCUCAUAAGAUCAAAGCUCGCUGCGUAGCUAGCUGCACAUUUCCAUAAAAAUGAUGUUUUUCAAAACAAAUCCGAGAGCUUCGAUGGCUCAGAGCCCUUGUUUCCUACAAGAGAUUAUCGAAUGGUGAGGGACGAGCAAAAGAAAUACGAAAGCGAUGAAAAUAGAAUUACACGAACCUUGACUUCGAUUGUGAAUUCCCCGUGAAGAAUGCUACUCAAAUCUUUGCUAAGAACAUUGUUGGGGAUUCUGUGUACGAGCAGCUUUGCCACGUCGGAUUCCCUCACCUAAAAUUGCAAAGUGCAAUGAAAUAUAUACAUGAGUUCCAAGUAUAGUGACAAGCUUCAUUGCAGUACAUGCAUCGUCUAGACAGUUAUGAGGAUUCCCCUGCUCCCGGAGUUCAUAACCUAACAAAGCCUACCUUAUAAGAAAGAACAUAGAACAUGUCACAAUAGCUAGCUGGAAGCAUCGAGAAGGUAAUAUUAUGUCUAUUAUAGCAAUUUCCAUCUUCCGAUAUUUUUCUUGGAUAUAAAGCCUUUUGAAAUUGGACUUAAGAAAUUGAUUUAUUUAUUCAUUUUUUUGUUACCUUGUAACCGAAAAAGUGUUUUGAAAAAUUAGUGAGAUGAACACAGCUCACACCAAA
Molecule: RNA transcript, 2715 nt
Organism: Andrographis paniculata
Lineage: Eukaryota; Viridiplantae; Streptophyta; Magnoliopsida; Lamiales; Acanthaceae
Gene name: phosphatidylinositol 3,4,5-trisphosphate 3-phosphatase and protein-tyrosine-phosphatase PTEN2A-like
Exons: 16
Source: RefSeq, a predicted model, not a curated record